This is a long non-coding RNA of Alosa sapidissima (American shad), 229 nucleotides long. RefSeq lists it as uncharacterized. Lineage: Eukaryota; Metazoa; Chordata; Actinopteri; Clupeiformes; Clupeidae. The transcript is spliced from 3 exons. The record is from RefSeq and is a predicted model, not a curated record.
CCCUGAGAACACUGAGUGCAUUCUGGAAUAUUCCAAAUGUGUGUCACUUCCAUACAAAAGAAGUUCCAAUCCUGCAAGAGAGUUCACUCACCAGUGGGCUCCAUCAACAGACCAGGGCAAAGUCAGUCUGUCCUGCUACUACUACAUGCUACUUGACUAUGUCUGGAAGCCAUGGCUGCUGCCCUCAACAUGCUAAACUGAAACCCUCACAAAUAAAGUCACAAAUCAA